Molecule: ribosomal RNA, 429 nt
Filed under: Gemmatimonadota bacterium
Lineage: Bacteria; Pseudomonadati; Gemmatimonadota
Description: Gemmatimonadetes bacterium partial 16S ribosomal RNA
Rfam family: Bacterial small subunit ribosomal RNA
Source: RNAcentral
UAGGGAAUCUUCGGCAAUGGACGAAAGUCUGACCGAGCAACGCCGCGUGAGUGAAGAAGGUUUUCGGAUCGUAAAACUCUGUUGUUAGAGAAGAACAAGGACGUUAGUAACUGAACGUCCCCUGACUGUAUCUAACCAGAAAGCCACGGCUAACUACGUGCCAGCAGCCGCGGUAAUACGUAGGUGGCAAGCGUUGUCCGGAUUUAUUGGGCGUAAAGCGAGCGCAGGCGGUUUCUUAAGUCUGAUGUGAAAGCCCCCGGCUCAACCGGGGAGGGUCAUUGGAAACUGGGAGACUUGAGUGCAGAAGAGGAGAGUGGAAUUCCAUGUGUAGCGGUGAAAUGCGUAGAUAUAUGGAGGAACACCAGUGGCGAAGGCGGCUCUCUGGUCUGUAACUGACGCUGAGGCUCGAAAGCGUGGGGAGCAAACAGG